UCAAGACAUAGAGGUAAGGUGAGUUUGCC
This 29-nucleotide non-coding RNA is filed under the name Mus musculus (house mouse). The record is from RNAcentral. Lineage: Eukaryota; Metazoa; Chordata; Mammalia; Rodentia; Muridae.